GUCUACGGCCAUACCACCCUGAAAGCGCCCGAUCUCGUCUGAUCUCGGAAGCUAAGCAGGGACGGGCUUGGUUAGUACCUGGAUGGGAGACAGCCUGGGAAUACCAGGUGUUGUAGGCU
Molecule: ribosomal RNA, 119 nt
Organism: Xenopus tropicalis (tropical clawed frog)
Lineage: Eukaryota; Metazoa; Chordata; Amphibia; Anura; Pipidae
Source: Ensembl